CGGUCGGCAGGCGAUCCGCGUCGGUCGUGCGAGGGUGGUAUGGUUCCCCCAGAGGCCGGUUCUUGUGCUGCCUACCCCUUCAGGGGAAUCGGGCCACUUGAUGUAAGCCUCCAUCCGGCGCCUUCCAACGGGCGCAGGAGGACAACAGGGCACCCCCCGCGUUCCACCGAUCCUCCUUGGUCGCGUGGCCCGCGGGGACGUGCGACGCUCUCGGACCCAGCGAACGCCGUGGGCGAGGACUCACGUCCCAGUCCCGAAAAGAAGCUCCGAUAUAAUGCAAGACGGCCGCUCCCGCCCCCCCGGGGGCGAGGCGCGGCGUCGCAGAGGAAUGCUA
Molecule: unclassified non-coding RNA, 334 nt
Filed under: Acacia koa
Lineage: Eukaryota; Viridiplantae; Streptophyta; Magnoliopsida; Fabales; Fabaceae
Description: contains external transcribed spacer and 18S ribosomal RNA
Source: RNAcentral